UCUUCUCUCUCUUCUAUUAAUAUUUAUAGUCACAAAAUAUUUAUACAUAUUUUAAAUGAUAUUGUAGUAAUCAUGGUGCCUUUGGAUAUAUCGUUUCAUUAUUCUCGUUGCAAGAUUAAGAGAUGUUUUUGGACAUCGAAGAACUAGAUGGAUGAAUUAUUGUUUUCCUUAAUCCAAGUUAUGGAAUAUGCAAUGAUUUCUAUAUAACCUUCUUUCAUAUGUACGAGGUCGUGUUUAAGAAAACCGGCUCCAAUUGCUCUUCACUGAUUUUGAAGUCACUGUGCUACAACACCUGUAACAAUUACACCCUUUUAACUUCAUUCGAACUCUUAGACUUACAUAUAUAUGUUUUUUUAUGUAAUAUCAAACAUCCAUUUAUUCUUAAUUUAGCUUGUUAUGGGACUCCAUUAAUCCAAGUAACCCACGAGGUUGGGUAUCAUUUCGAAGUCUUUUAUUGACUCCUUGAAACGUUUUAAAGAUAUAUAUUAUGUCAUUUGUAUGAAGUCGGAUAGGGCUUUGGUAUCCAUUUCCCUCUAGUGCAUUAAUUUUUUUAUAGCAAAUGUUUUAAGAGAAAGAGAUUGUAAAAUCUGUUGAUGUCAUUAAGUGAUUCACACCGUGAUUUGUGGAUCAACCUUUGAUCUGGAUAAUAAGGUAUUUGAUUGAGGACAAGUAGAGAGAGAAAUCAUGUAUUGGUGGUGAAACUUACAUUAAUUAUGUGUACCACUAUUUUAGUAUUCAUUAUAAAAAAAAUUAUAGAUUUUUAGCCUCCAAAA
Molecule: long non-coding RNA, 773 nt
Filed under: Cicer arietinum (chickpea)
Lineage: Eukaryota; Viridiplantae; Streptophyta; Magnoliopsida; Fabales; Fabaceae
Description: long non-coding RNA (CARI_LNC000902)
Source: RNAcentral